RNAcentral lists this long non-coding RNA (2818 nucleotides) under Sorghum bicolor (sorghum). RNAcentral's name for it is "long non-coding RNA (SBIC_LNC000552)". Lineage: Eukaryota; Viridiplantae; Streptophyta; Magnoliopsida; Poales; Poaceae. The record is from RNAcentral.
GUCCAACUUUCCUUCUGAAUCAUCCUCGCAUACCUCCUCGUUUAUAGAUCACAACAACCAGCACAAGCACCAUAAAAGAAACCUAAAAACAAUACAUCAAGCAUUAUGAAACAAGACUUUAAGGUUUUAAACAUGUAGGUCUGCAACUACAAACGUUUGAGCGCACAAACAACUAAGCAAAACUACUAUAACAGGGUAUGAAGGAUCAAAGGUAGAAGUUAGAGGGUUCGGUAAAUGAUAGGAAUGGAAUAAACAUGAUGGACAUGACUAACUUGAAAUAUUUAUACAACUUAAGGAUUUAUAAGUGAGAGGUACAUGAUUAUAGAAGUGUAUACAAGAUGGAUAUGAUUUUAGGGAGAAUGAAGUAAACAUACAAAGAUUGGCAAGGAGGAAACAUAUACAUGAUAGUGACUACGCAAGAGUGAGAUGGUAUAAUAGACAAGAAUGUUUAUUUCUAGCCAUAGAACAUGAAGACCUCAAAACAAUGGUAGUGGUUGGCAAUGAUCGAAUUUGCCAACAGCGAGGAUAUGAUGGUUAGAUGGCAAAAAGUGAGGAUGAACCCAUAGCUUAGGUUCGGCAACCUACUUUAGGAUAUGAUGAUGAUCAUUUGGAUUUGUGAAAUGGAUACUUUGGAACAUAUUUAGACAAGUGGCUGCAGCAGUGUGAAUGCUACAUAAAAGGGUAAUGCGUUUAUGGUGAUUUGCGCACCGGUUGAGCAUACCCCGUGGCGCAUGGACAAUGGUGGUUAGUGGCAGAUGUGACCAUAAAAAAGCAAGGCCUCACUGAACCUCUAGGCUUGAAAUAUGGUAGGAUGAUGUGCAACUAAGAAACACUCAUCCUUACGAGAGGGCUCAGUGAUUGAUAUAGUGGUUUAACAAGGAACAUGGCGAAACAUCGAUGCAUCCAAGACAUGCACGUUGGCAGACAGCGAUGGUUUUGAUGAGUGGUUGCAUGGUUAUAACAGAACCUGAAUAGUGAUGAAUUUUGUGAUGUUGUUGGGGAAUAUAUUGAGUAUGCUACUGCAAAAGAACAUGAUGUUUCAACCUUUCGUUUGCCGGGAAACAAGAAUACAAAGCGAGUCACAUAACUGUUUUCUGGACAAUAGGGAAGACAAAUAUAGAGACACCAAUAUCUCGGCCAUCGUGGCACCUAUGGUCAAACCAGCUUGCAAAGGCGUGUGCAUAUUCACGAUACACAUGUGGGUAAAUUGAUUUGUUAAACGGAGUAACAGAUUUUUGGCAACACGCGCAUCAACUGACUGCACCGCGGCUGCGGGGCAGCAGGGACAGCGAGCACAAGAAAAAUGAUAUUUCUUUUAUCUUGAAUCCUAUUGCCAUGAAAUUUCUCAGGGGCAUGUGCAAGGAUAUGAAACAAAUUGUGGUUGAAGAACACAAUCACUGGAGUGAUGAAACAUCGGGAAUAUGCAUGCCAAACAACAGCUGCACGGUUGCAUGGCUGCAGGAACAGCAAGCACAAGAACAAGUAUAUCUCCUUCAUCUUGAAUUAUCUGGUCAUGAAAUUUUACUGAGACGUGUGCCACUGAAUGAUCAACAUCAUGUUCAAAGAUCUCUAUGACCGAAGGGCGGGAACUCUAGGAAUGUGCAUGCCAAAUUGGCAGCAGCGCUGCUGUCCGCAAAAGGCAAAGACAUGAUUGUUAUGAAACAUCGCCGGAAUUUGACCAUGCACAAAUUAUGGCACAUGUUCUACAAUGAAAAACAUAUUAAAAAUAUGAAGAACAUGGUGGUCGUCACAUCGGGGUUAGCUGCAGCUAGAGAUGAAGUUGACGGUGGCUGACAUCGAUGAUGGGUGUUGACGGGGACUGCGAUCAACGGGACAGCACCGAUUGCGCUCCAUAGAUAAUAUAUGCCACAUGAAAGAUCAAAGGCACGGAUGAGAUGGACAAGAACAGUAAGAUCAGAGAAUGGAGAGGAAGGGGCGUCCUCACCAUGGAAGUGAACAUAUGAUCUGUACAAGACGUCGAUGGUGGCCUGCAUGGCUGCAUUUAUUUGGGGUUGAUGCUAUGGUAAACAACCAUCUAGGUUGCCGUGGUUGAAUCAAUUGGAAGAUGAUGUGCACCAAGAUGAAAUCCACACAAAGGUGCAGCACCAUGAUAUGGCCUGGAUAAGGAUGCAACAACCAUGGAGAUUACCGGCAGAAUGUCAACAACCGGGCUGCGGUCUUUGAUUUGAGACCUUCCUGUGUUACCAGACAGAGAUUCAGAGAGGGAUGAGUGAUGAACAAGGUGCUGCUCAGAGACAUAGGGAGAAAGGAGAGACUUUACCACAGGUGAGAUCAAAGGUUGUGAUCCUCAUACAUAGCUUGCUUCAUCUUGAAGAUGAUCACUGCAGCAGCAAGACAGAAUUGUAGACACAUUUUUCUUUCUGUUUUGAUGGAGAGGAGGGAGAGGAAGUUGGAGCUGCAGACAUGGGGAAGGAAGAGGAACAGAGGGAGCUCGCCCCUUCUGUUUCUUGAUGUGAAUAGGAGGAGGGGGCAGCGCUGGUUUCUGAUGGGAGAAAAAUAAAGGAGAGACAAGGCUGCUUCUAUUGCCAUCAAAGGUGUAAUAGAAAUAUUAAGAGAGAGGUGCAUGCAGGGUUAUUAAGGGGAGGGGAAUAAUUGUGGCUGUUUUGCAUGCAAGGAAGUGAAGCAGGCGGCAUAGGGGAGAAGAGAGACCAUGGAGAUGGUGCCCAUAUGCGUGAUGGAGGGAGGGAGGAGAUGAGGGUGCUGCUUCUCUGGUGGUGGCGUGAGGGAGAGAGGAGAAGGCAGAUAUAGCUGCCAUUUGUUGCAUGGAUGCAUGCAAUUGAAGUGUGAUUAAAUGGAG